RNAcentral lists this long non-coding RNA (724 nucleotides) under Homo sapiens (human). RNAcentral's name for it is "non-protein coding lnc-KCNJ2-2:1". The record is from RNAcentral. Lineage: Eukaryota; Metazoa; Chordata; Mammalia; Primates; Hominidae.
CUUGGAAUAGGGCUGAAUCUUCCACAGCUACCUGACAUUCGACAUCCACUUAAACAACUAAACAGAAAAUGGUACUCCACAGCUAUAAAAAAAAAAAAAAAAAAAAAAUUUUAUUGAAUCUUCACCUUAUUACAAAAUUUCACUUGCCAAACUCAGUGUUUUUAGUAAGAGGUAAUUAUUUGUGUAGGGGUUUAAACAAAUCCCAGUGGAAUUCAAAUAUUUUUAAAGACUAUCUUAGAUAAUAUAUUUUGUAUAGAAUCAAUGUUGAGUUAGCUAUACCAUAAAAAUAUGUGAAGCUAGGUUGAAAUGAGAGAAAAAUCACUAGUAGAGACCUAUACGUGGUACAUGGAAGCAUCGUCUUUCACUAUUUGAAUUGUGGUACUGAAAGUGACAUAACAUGAGUAUUUGGGGUGCUUUUUCCCUAGCUGUGGACACAAAUUAGUGCUCUAUUGUCUAAGACUUAAAAUAGACCAAGGAACUUUAAAAGCAACAUUUUAAAAAUGGGGAUCCGUCCAGCUGUGUUCUGAGCUUGGGCAGCACUGCCAUCUGUUCUGUAAAGCACCACGGGGUCUCCACUGCACUCAGUUAGAAGUCAGCCACCUCGGAAGCACAGGCACAGCGUCAGCCACCUUGGAAGCACAGGCACAAGGUAUCAGGGUGUUUUCUAGAAAGGACGUCAUCAACAUGGUUGACUAGAGGCACCCAGCACUCGCCUCUUCUAUAA